AGAGUUUGAUCCUGGCUCAGGAUGAACGCUGGCGGCGUGCCUAAUACAUGCAAGUCGAGCGAACGGACGAGAAGCUUGCUUCUCUGAUGUUAGCGGCGGACGGGUGAGUAACACGUGGAUAACCUACCUAUAAGACUGGGAUAACUUCGGGAAACCGGAGCUAAUACCGGAUAAUAUUUUGAACCGCAUGGUUCAAAAGUGAAAGACGGUCUUGCUGUCACUUAUAGAUGGAUCCGCGCUGCAUUAGCUAGUUGGUAAGGUAACGGCUUACCAAGGCAACGAUGCAUAGCCGACCUGAGAGGGUGAUCGGCCACACUGGAACUGAGACACGGUCCAGACUCCUACGGGAGGCAGCAGUAGGGAAUCUUCCGCAAUGGGCGAAAGCCUGACGGAGCAACGCCGCGUGAGUGAUGAAGGUCUUCGGAUCGUAAAACUCUGUUAUUAGGGAAGAACAUAUGUGUAAGUAACUGUGCACAUCUUGACGGUACCUAAUCAGAAAGCCACGGCUAACUACGUGCCAGCAGCCGCGGUAAUACGUAGGUGGCAAGCGUUAUCCGGAAUUAUUGGGCGUAAAGCGCGCGUAGGCGGUUUUUUAAGUCUGAUGUGAAAGCCCACGGCUCAACCGUGGAGGGUCAUUGGAAACUGGAAAACUUGAGUGCAGAAGAGGAAAGUGGAAUUCCAUGUGUAGCGGUGAAAUGCGCAGAGAUAUGGAGGAACACCAGUGGCGAAGGCGACUUUCUGGUCUGUAACUGACGCUGAUGUGCGAAAGCGUGGGGAUCAAACAGGAUUAGAUACCCUGGUAGUCCACGCCGUAAACGAUGAGUGCUAAGUGUUAGGGGGUUUCCGCCCCUUAGUGCUGCAGCUAACGCAUUAAGCACUCCGCCUGGGGAGUACGACCGCAAGGUUGAAACUCAAAGGAAUUGACGGGGACCCGCACAAGCGGUGGAGCAUGUGGUUUAAUUCGAAGCAACGCGAAGAACCUUACCAAAUCUUGACAUCCUUUGACAACUCUAGAGAUAGAGCUUUCCCCUUCGGGGGACAAAGUGACAGGUGGUGCAUGGUUGUCGUCAGCUCGUGUCGUGAGAU
Molecule: ribosomal RNA, 1086 nt
Filed under: Staphylococcus aureus H12662
Lineage: Bacteria; Bacillati; Bacillota; Bacilli; Caryophanales; Staphylococcaceae
Description: bacterial SSU rRNA
Rfam family: Bacterial small subunit ribosomal RNA
Source: RNAcentral